GACGAACGCUGGCGGCGUGCUUAACACAUGCAAGUCGAACGGAAAGGCCCUGCUUUUGUGGGGUGCUCGAGUGGCGAACGGGUGAGUAACACGUGAGUAACCUGCCCUUGACUUUGGGAUAACUUCAGGAAACUGGGGCUAAUACCGGAUAGGAGCUCCUGCUGCAUGGUGGGGGUUGGAAAGUUUCGGCGGUUGGGGAUGGACUCGCGGCUUAUCAGCUUGUUGGUGGGGUAGUGGCUUACCAAGGCUUUGACGGGUAGCCGGCCUGAGAGGGUGACCGGCCACAUGGGGACGGAGAUACGGCCCAGACUCCUACGGGAGGCAGCAGUGGGGAAUAUGGCACAAUGGGCGGAAGCCUGAUGCAGCAACGCCGCGUGCGGGAUGACGGCCUUCGGGUUGUAAACCGCUUUCGCCUGUGACGAAGCGUGAGUGACGGUAAUGGGUAAAGAAGCACCGGCGAACUACGG
This 467-nucleotide ribosomal RNA is filed under the name uncultured bacterium. RNAcentral's name for it is "partial 16S ribosomal RNA". It matches the Rfam family "Bacterial small subunit ribosomal RNA", at positions 28 to 506 of the family's 1533-position model. The record is from RNAcentral.